GUAAUCGCGGUGCGCCGGCUCCGCCUUCAACCUCACGCUCCAGUUGCCUCUUGGCGGCAGGUCCGGGCACCUGUGAGGUGCCACUCCGCUGUGGAAAAGGAACAGCCAUUAAGACCCAUCGGAAAGUGAGGGGAGCAGGCGGACGAUGACCAGUCCAUUCUGGGGCAGGAGCACACACAUGCACAAAGUCGACGAGCUACACUGGGGAUAGGGGAGCUUCCCUUUCUUCCAUUUUUCUCUAAAAGGAAAUAUUUUCAGGAUUAUUUAGUGUGGUGCACGUCCCAACAUCUGGGAGUUUCAGACAGGAUGUUAUUGUUGCCAGAGUUAGUCUCACAGAUUCUGCAGCACCCUAAGUCAAGCAUAAGCUACUGAGAUUUCGUUGAGAUUUACAUUUGUAUGUCUGGGCACAGACCUUAUGUGAAGUCAUUUAUUUGGAGGUAUCAGAUAAUCUACUGAGAAAGUGGAGAGCCUGGAGUACAACCAGCCAACAGUGACAUCUGAGGGAAGGAAGACAAGGAGAGAGCUAAAUGACUGAGGGCAAGCAGCUAGAAGGGAGAGAAAGAAAAUCAGGAGGGUUACAAGAGCUACGAGAAGGAGUGGUCAAAUCCAUCAAAGCCACAGACAUGCCUUCCUGUUACUAGAUCCUGACAGUCCUGUAAAAAAGCCCUACGAUACAGUAAUUAUCCCAAGAACAAC
Molecule: long non-coding RNA, 696 nt
Filed under: Mus pahari (shrew mouse)
Lineage: Eukaryota; Metazoa; Chordata; Mammalia; Rodentia; Muridae
Description: lncRNA (MGP_PahariEiJ_G0006136.1)
Source: RNAcentral